UACCAUCCGGAUAUCCUUCAGUGGAUACCAAAAAUUUAGCAUCCCUCAGUAGAUGCUACCCAAAAGUUGUAUAGAAAAUAAAAAAAAAAAUACAUGUUCCAACCAAAAUAAAACAAAAGAUUGAAAAAGAAAAUUGUUCAAUAAAAUACAAAAUUUGAUUUCCAACAAAUUCAGCUCUUCUUCUUUACGCUGGGAUCUUCAUCAUCCCACCAGCUCACUUUUCUCCGAUCCACCUUCUUG
This 240-nucleotide long non-coding RNA is filed under the name Vigna radiata. RNAcentral describes it as "long non-coding RNA (VRAD_LNC018596)". The record is from RNAcentral. Lineage: Eukaryota; Viridiplantae; Streptophyta; Magnoliopsida; Fabales; Fabaceae.